RNAcentral lists this ribosomal RNA (292 nucleotides) under uncultured bacterium. RNAcentral's name for it is "partial 16S ribosomal RNA". It matches the Rfam family "Bacterial small subunit ribosomal RNA", at positions 505 to 796 of the family's 1533-position model. The record is from RNAcentral.
GUGCCAGCAGCCGCGGUAAUACGAGAGGCCCAAACGUUAUUCGGAAUUACUGGGCUUAAAGAGUUCGUAGGCGGCAUGAAAAGUAGGGUGUGAAAGCCCUCGGCUCAACCGAGGAAUUGCGCUCUAAACUGUCGUGCUCGAGGAAUCUAGAGGUGAGCGGAACUGAUGGUGGAGCGGUGAAAUGCGUUGAUAUCAUCAGGAACACCGGAGGCGAAGGCGGCUCACUGGGGAUUUUCUGACGCUGAGGAACGAAAGCCAGGGGAGCGAACGGGAUUAGAUACCCCCGUAGUCC